Molecule: ribosomal RNA, 492 nt
Filed under: uncultured bacterium
Lineage: Bacteria
Description: partial 16S ribosomal RNA
Rfam family: Bacterial small subunit ribosomal RNA
Source: RNAcentral
AGUGAACGCUGGCGGUAGGCCUAACACAUGCCAGUCGAACGGCAGCACAGUAAGGGCUUGCUCUUACGGGUGGCGAGUGGCGGACGGGUGAGGAAUACAUCGGAAUCUACUUUUUCGUGGGGGAUAACGUAGGGAAACUUACGCUAAUACCGCAUACGACCUACGGGUGAAAGCAGGGGAUCUUCGGACCUUGCGCGAUUGAAUGAGCCGAUGUCGGAUUAGCUAGUUGGCGGGGUAAAGGCCCACCAAGGCGACGAUCCGUAGCUGGUCUGAGAGGAUGAUCAGCCACACUGGAACUGAGACACGGUCCAGACUCCUACGGGAGGCAGCAGUGGGGAAUAAUGGACAAUGGGCGCAAGCCUGAUCCAGCCAUACCGCGUGGGUGAAGAAGGCCUUCGGGUUGUAAAGCCCUUUUGUUGGGAAAGAAAAGCAGCAGGUUAAUACCCCGCUGUUCUGACGGUACCCAAAGAAUAAGCACCGGCUAACUUCGUG